RNAcentral lists this ribosomal RNA (425 nucleotides) under uncultured bacterium. RNAcentral's name for it is "partial 16S ribosomal RNA". It matches the Rfam family "Bacterial small subunit ribosomal RNA", at positions 354 to 796 of the family's 1533-position model. The record is from RNAcentral.
GUGGGGAAUCUUAGACAAUGGGGGAAACCCUGAUCUAGCCAUGCCGCGUGAGCGAUGAAGGCCUUAGGGUUGUAAAGCUCUUUCAGCUGGGAAGAUAAUGACGUUACCAGCAGAAGAAGCCCCGGCUAACUCCGUGCCAGCAGCCGCGGUAAUACGGAGGGGGCUAGCGUUGUUCGGAAUUACUGGGCGUAAAGCGCACGUAGGCGGAUCAGAAAGUCAGAGGUGAAAUCCCAGGGCUCAACCUUGGAACUGCCUUUGAAACUCCUGGUCUUGAGGUCGAGAGAGGUGAGUGGAAUUCCGAGUGUAGAGGUGAAAUUCGUAGAUAUUCGGAGGAACACCAGUGGCGAAGGCGGCUCACUGGCUCGAUACUGACGCUGAGGUGCGAAAGCGUGGGGAGCAAACAGGAUUAGAUACCCUAGUAGUCC